This is a non-coding RNA of Maylandia zebra (zebra mbuna), 512 nucleotides long. The record is from RefSeq and is a predicted model, not a curated record. NCBI's taxonomy places the organism in Eukaryota, Metazoa, Chordata, Actinopteri, Cichliformes, Cichlidae.
GCUCCACAAACAGUGGCACCCCAUCGCAGAAGCUAUUAAAUACAGACACGCAGGUUUCUCAUGCACUCUUAUCACUGGCCUUGUUUAUCCCAGACUGCUCCCACUCUACAGCCUAAGGAAGAGUACUCUGCUAAAUGCCAGUGUGGAAAACACCAGUGCAAAACAUGUUCACAAAGAAGGAGGCCGUAGGUAAAGUGUCAUCCGGAGAGACACAAAGGAGUCAGAGAUUACCGAGGUCCAAAUCGGUCGAGCUUGCCUGACAAAAAUGGGAGUGUUAGGAAUCCAUAUCUCAACCCCCAAGGUGAUUUAUUUGACAUUACACAGAGCCUGCAGCACAAGAAAUGAGUCCACUGAAGGGAAAACAACUCAGUGGCAACUGGAUAGAUUGUUAUGGAACGAGUAUGGUACAGACGUGGUUCCCACAGGAUGAAGAUCCCUUAUUUUAGCAACAAUGCUGAUUGUUCCACUAGGACCAACAAUAGGUUGGGAUUUGUGGUUGGAGUGAAAUGCAA